AACAUUAUAGCGAAUUAUGUAUCUUAAAUUGUACGGUGGUAGGCCAUCACCGUCAAUGGUGAGCAAUACAGAACGUUGAUGACCGAUUUUUUUUUUCCCAAAAUGAACAAUAUGGACGCAGACGACAUGUGGUUUCAGCAGGAUGGCGCUACGUGCCAUAUAUCCAAUGCCACGACAGACAUUCUAACGACAAAUUUGAGGGUAUGGUUAUCUCUUGCCGAGGAGACGUAAACCUAACCA
This is a non-coding RNA of Cinara cedri, 240 nucleotides long. NCBI's taxonomy places the organism in Eukaryota, Metazoa, Arthropoda, Insecta, Hemiptera, Aphididae. The record is from the annotation of a GenBank genome assembly.